Macaca mulatta (Rhesus monkey) is the source of this 766-nucleotide non-coding RNA. The record is from RefSeq and is a predicted model, not a curated record. Lineage: Eukaryota; Metazoa; Chordata; Mammalia; Primates; Cercopithecidae.
GAAACGGAAUACCGUCCCACGUGAUUCAGCAGCACUCAAGGCAGCGCCCGGGAACUUCUGAUACCAAACUCCGCAAACAGUGACGCAGACCUCAUGCUUGCAGACCACACGCUUCCAUACAGACCUCAGCUGCCAAGCGCACUGUGAGCCCCACAGGUGGACCACCGUGAAGUUACAAACUCUGGACAUUAUGAAUACAACAAAUACAAGAUGACUCUGAAAGGCAGAGAGAAGGAGGCAGACUGGCUAGGGACCUGGGACAUGAGGAACGACAGAGCAUUUCAGAACCAAAUGAGAGGGUUGGAAAAUUUUGUUUCUCCCAUCUGUCUUUCUUCUGGAACAACUGUUCUACCGGCAAAAUGACGCUUUGUUUACAUCAGCAUAUCCCAAGCUGGAGUUUGGAAGAACUACACCUAGAAGAUGUUGUGUAGUCAAACUGUAUGGAAAACUCUAAGUUUCCUUCUGCAGGGCUUCUUGGAUACUUUAUAACGCUAAAAUGCACUGUGAGUCUGCAAAAGUGAGGGUUAAAACAGUUUCAAAACUGAUAGAGCUAUUGUCUCUUCUGUCCCAGAAGGCUUAUCAUCCCCAUCUUCAUGAAUAGCAUCCAGUGGAAUAUGCGUGAGAAAAACUAAUUGCUAACUUGUUAGUGAUCAGUCACAUUUUAACAAAUUCAGUAUAGAUACUUUCCAUAUCAUUAAUAUAAAAUUUAAUCUGGCAUAAGCAUUUUUACUUAUAAUGUUAUACUACCUUCAUCAUUACAUUAGGA